GUUUAUACUUACGUUUAGUUUGACUCAAACUCUGAUGCUUUCAGUAUGCUUGACAGAGAUGUGAGUGUGUGAUACACUCUUAUGAUUGUUUUUUUUCCCCCCCCCCAGCAGCAUCUGGAAUCAAGAGACCCAUGGCAUCUGAGCUCUUGGAAGCUAGACAGGAUUCUUACAUCUCAUUGGUGCCUUAUGCCUCUGGCAUGCCCAUCAAGAAAAUAGGCCAUAGAAGUGUUGAUUCCUCAGGAGAGACAACAUAUAAAAAGACAACCUCAUCAGCCUUGAAAGGUGCCAUCCAGUUAGGCAUUACCCACACUGUGGGGAGCCUGAGUACCAAACCAGAGCGUGAUGUCCUCAUGCAAGAUUUCUACGUGGUUGAGAGUAUCUUCUUUCCCAGCGAAGGGAGCAACCUGACCCCUGCUCAUCACUACAAUGACUUUCGUUUCAAGACCUAUGC
This 451-nucleotide small RNA is filed under the name Pan troglodytes (chimpanzee). Its description in RNAcentral is "retained intron". The record is from RNAcentral. Lineage: Eukaryota; Metazoa; Chordata; Mammalia; Primates; Hominidae.